Molecule: unclassified non-coding RNA, 379 nt
Filed under: uncultured bacterium
Lineage: Bacteria
Description: contains 16S-23S intergenic spacer region
Source: RNAcentral
UCCGGCUUAGCACCGGCAGUCCUGCUAGAGUGCCCAACUAAAUGGUAGCAACUAAAGACGAGGGUUGCGCUCGUUGCGGGACUUAACCCAACAUCUCACGACACGAGCUGACGACAGCCAUGCAGUACCUGUGUGUAGGUCCCGUAAGGGAAGGAAUCCAUCUCUGGAAACCGUCCUACCAUGUCAAACGCUGGUAAGGUUCUGCGCGUUGCUUCGAAUUAAACCACAUACUCCACCGCUUGUGCGGGCCCCCGUCAAUUCCUUUGAGUUUCAGCCUUGCGGCCGUACUCCCCAGGCGGAGUGCUUAAUGCGUUAGCUGCAGCACUAAGGGGCGGAAACCCCCUAACACUUAGCACUCAUCGUUUACGGCGUGGACUAC